AAGAAGCUACUUUGUGCGUAUUGUUAAUUAAGUUUUAACCUUUAAGCUGUAAUAGGGAGUUUUAUAUCGGAACGGNNGCUGUAUAGGGAGUUUUAUAUCGAAGCUGGAAUGUCAUGCCUCCAUUGCAGAGGACGACAGGAACGUUUCUGCAAACACCCACUUUGAGGAGUGGUGGUUUAAAACUUUCUUACUUGCAUACGGCAAGAUGUAGCGAAAGC
This 218-nucleotide non-coding RNA is filed under the name Bacillus spizizenii. Its description in RNAcentral is "6S RNA". It matches the Rfam family "6S / SsrS RNA". Rfam says of the family: E. coli 6S RNA was the first non coding RNA to be sequenced, but its function was unknown until recently. It consists of 184 nucleotides that fold into an extended hairpin structure with a large single-stranded internal bulge. The record is from RNAcentral. Lineage: Bacteria; Bacillati; Bacillota; Bacilli; Caryophanales; Bacillaceae.